Molecule: long non-coding RNA, 1238 nt
Organism: Cyprinus carpio carpio
Lineage: Eukaryota; Metazoa; Chordata; Actinopteri; Cypriniformes; Cyprinidae
Source: Ensembl
UUUCUGUUACGGUAAAAUCUAUAAAUACUAAUACAGAUUUAUGGUUUAUGUUAUGUUCAUAUGAAUUGUCAUAUAAAUACUACAGAACUGCUUAGAUAUAUGAUUUGUCCUUUCUCUCUACAUCACCUGCAGAAACAAAGAAGAGAAACCCCUUUUCCAGGGACCUAUCUUAUUCAUCUUUUGCCCUGUGGCUUGGAUCCCCCUGCAGGGUUGGACCAAUUGUUCCAAAAACAAAGAUCCUCAAAAGAUUUUCAGUCAGACUAUGUGACAAGUCACCUCCUGUAGAUUGUCAUGCAGUUGAGGACACUGUGUUAAAACUAUUUGAAUCCAAAAAGAUGUAGCUGGACGUGUUGCAUGACACGCCAACAACAGAUUUCGCCAGGCAUUUUUCAGGCCUUUUGAUGGCAGACUGUGUGAAGCCACAGCUGAAAAUGUGGCCAGGGCUUCAUCCAAGGAGCUUGUUGUCCAUUUACCCUGGGUUAAAACCAUAAAAGAAGGUGGACCUGUCCAGAGUCAAAAUAAUUGAGGCACAGAAGCACUUGACAAACCUCAACCCAUCACAGGAAAAUCAGAUAGGUUUUCGUUGUACAACCGCUUUCAUCAGCAUAACCAAAAACAGGAAAAAGAGAAACUGAGAAGCCUUGAUCUUGUCCCAGAGCUCACUGUUCUCAUCAACUCUUCCAUGGCAAAGCAUAACUGGGAGCUUGCAAAUUCUUGAUACUUUCUUUGCCAGUUGAAAGAUAUUCAUUAUAUGUUUGCACUUCGAUUGGUGUUCUAUUUGCAUAACAGCAGAGUGAACAAAGCAUUUAUGGACAAAAUGCUAAGGUAGACACAAGGGUCAGCUGAAUUUGGACUGGAGGGAAGACUGUGCCUCUUCACUACAUGUGAGAUUGAUAGAAAUUUUAUCUUAAUUUGUAUGUUAAUCUUAUAACUACCUUGCAUAAAUGUUGAUCUAAACACUGUGUAUUGAUACAGAUAUACUGUAGGCACUCACUCAACAUUAAAAAAACCUGACUAUAUGAAAAAAAAAGAAGAAAAAAUUCAUCCCAUGGGAAGGACAACACUUCAGCACAUCAGUUUUCCCCAUCUUGAAGGAAAACAAGGACAAGCUUUCUGAACUGUACUCCACUGUACAAAAUGAUGCUUCUGUCCUUGUGCAAAUGAACAACUGUAUAAUAACAAUUAAGGACCUACUGACAAUCCUGCACAGUCCAUUUCGCCCGGAUCAGAAGACAUCC